Molecule: ribosomal RNA, 497 nt
Filed under: uncultured bacterium
Lineage: Bacteria
Description: partial 16S ribosomal RNA
Rfam family: Bacterial small subunit ribosomal RNA
Source: RNAcentral
GAUGAACGCUGGCGGCGUGCCUAAUACAUGCAAGUCGAGCGAACAGACGAGGAGCUUGUUCCUUUGUCGUGAGGGGAGGAGGGGUGAGUAACACGUAGGUAACCUCCCUAUAAGACGGGGAUAACUUCGGGAAACCGGAGCAAACACGGGAUAAUAUUUCGAACCGCAUGGUUCGAUAGUGAAAGAUGGCUUUGCUAUAACUACUAGAUGGACCUGCGCCGUAUUAGCUAGUUGGUAAGUUAAAGGCCUACCAAGGCAAGGAUACGUAGCCGACCUGAGAGGGUGAUCGGCCACACUGGAACUGAGACACGGUCCAGACUCCUACGGGAGGCAGCAGUAGGGAAUCUUCCGCAAUGGGCGAAAGCCUGACGGAGCAACGCCGCGUGAGUGAUGAAGGUCUUCGGAUCGUAAAACUCUGUUAUGAGGGAAGAACAAACUUGUAAGUAACUGUGCACGGCGUGACGGUACCUAAUCAGAAAGCCACGGCUAACUACGUG